Ilex paraguariensis (yerba mate) is the source of this 105-nucleotide non-coding RNA. The record is from the annotation of a GenBank genome assembly. Lineage: Eukaryota; Viridiplantae; Streptophyta; Magnoliopsida; Aquifoliales; Aquifoliaceae.
GCGAUAUUACCAGCACUAAUGUACCAGAUUCCAUCAGAACUACGUAGUUAUGCAUGUUUGGGCGAGAGUAGUAUUAAGAUGGAUGACCGGAUCCUAUCAAAAUUC